ACACACACACAUACACAUACACACACCAUUGUGUAAUUGAAGAUAGAGCCGAUGGUGGUGAAGGGUUACAUUUAAAAGGUAAAUAAAUGGACACCCAGAAGCCAGAAAAGCGUAAACUUGAACACCGAGCACCGAGUGAAAGAAUGAAGUGACUGAUUGAACAACGGAAAAGAAAAAGAAAAAGAAAAAGAAAAACAAAGACAAGAACCAACUAUAGCCCGUGAUCGCUAGCUACCUUUUCGCCGUCUCAAAUUGCCAACCCGAAACCAGACUGAAAGCUGAUGCAGUAAUAGUAAGUCUCUCAUCGCGUUGCAUGCCAUAUACAUUAGGGAAUUGCAUAAAUAGGUAAGCAAAUGGAGAAUGAAAUGAGAAGACAACCCCACGUGAGAAAUUAAAUGAAAAAUGAGAAAUCAAUAAAACAUGGUGAUAAUCAAACGGAACCAAACUCAACCACCGCGAUUCUGAAAAAAAAAAAAAAAAGACCUGCAAGACCUCGCAUAGAAAGCGGAAAAACGAAGAGGAGAAGGAGAGCAG
RNAcentral lists this small RNA (534 nucleotides) under Histoplasma capsulatum var. duboisii H88. RNAcentral describes it as "Histoplasma capsulatum H88 hypothetical RNA". Lineage: Eukaryota; Fungi; Ascomycota; Eurotiomycetes; Onygenales; Ajellomycetaceae. The record is from RNAcentral.